ACAAAAUAAUGAGAUUCUAUUUAAUUGGUCCAUGUUUCUGAAACAAAUGAUACUUGUGGAAAUUCGGAUUUU
This is a small nucleolar RNA of Carlito syrichta (Philippine tarsier), 72 nucleotides long. Its record names the gene SNORD18. It matches the Rfam family "Small nucleolar RNA SNORD18". From Rfam's summary of the family: U18 is a member of the C/D class of snoRNA which contain the C (UGAUGA) and D (CUGA) box motifs. Lineage: Eukaryota; Metazoa; Chordata; Mammalia; Primates; Tarsiidae. The record is from Ensembl.